AGCAGUGAGGAAUAUUGGACAAUGGAUGGAAAUCUGAUCCAGCCAUGCCGCGUGCAGGAAGACGGCCCUAUGGGUUGUAAACUGCUUUUAUAUGGGAGCAAUAAGGUCUACGCGUAGACCGAUGAGAGUACCAUAUGAAUAAGCAUCGGCUAACUCCGUGCCAGCAGCCGCGGUAAU
RNAcentral lists this ribosomal RNA (177 nucleotides) under uncultured bacterium. Its description in RNAcentral is "partial 16S ribosomal RNA". It matches the Rfam family "Bacterial small subunit ribosomal RNA", at positions 350 to 524 of the family's 1533-position model. The record is from RNAcentral.